CACAGGGGGUGCAAACGUUGCUCGGAAUCAUUGGGCGUAAAGCGCACGUAGGCGGUUCGUUAUGUCGGAUGUGAAAGCCCUUGGCUUAACCGAGGAAGUGCAUCCGAAACUGGCGAGCUAGAGUACUAAAGAGGAUCGCGGAAUUCCCGGUGUAGAGGUGAAAUUCGUAGAUAUCGGGAGGAACACCGGUGGCGAAGGCGGCGAUCUGGGUAGAUACUGACGCUGAGGUGCGAAAGCGUGGGGAGCAAACAGG
This 253-nucleotide ribosomal RNA is filed under the name uncultured bacterium. RNAcentral's name for it is "partial 16S ribosomal RNA". It matches the Rfam family "Bacterial small subunit ribosomal RNA", at positions 524 to 776 of the family's 1533-position model. The record is from RNAcentral.